RNAcentral lists this unclassified non-coding RNA (157 nucleotides) under Discula destructiva. Its description in RNAcentral is "partial internal transcribed spacer 2". Lineage: Eukaryota; Fungi; Ascomycota; Sordariomycetes; Diaporthales; Gnomoniaceae. The record is from RNAcentral.
CAACCCUCAAAGCCUGGCUUUGGUGUUGGAGGAAUACCUGUAAAAGGGUACCCUCCCAAAUUUAGUGGCGGGCUCGCUAGAAUUUUGAGCGUAGUAGUUUUACCUCGUUUUUAAAGACUAGUGGGACUUCUUGCCGUAAAACCCCCAACUUUCUGAA